Molecule: long non-coding RNA, 18971 nt
Filed under: Equus caballus (horse)
Lineage: Eukaryota; Metazoa; Chordata; Mammalia; Perissodactyla; Equidae
Description: lncRNA (ENSECAG00000049305.1)
Source: RNAcentral
GGCUGCCGGCCCCGCGGCUCGGGAGGCGGAGGGAGCCGGCCAGGAUUGAUGUCUAAAUCAAUGCCGUUUCUAGGCGCUUCUCUCUGCUCCUCUCCAUCUUCCUCAAAGGCAGAUCGCCUCCCGAGGGAGGGUUUCCUCUCCCUUCGCAAAGUCAGCGCGAGGAGAGUGUCCGCACGAACGGGAACGGCAGCCCCACGCGGGCCAUCUGAGGGGCAGGGGCAUCUGGACAGGCACCCACGUGGGGGGAAACCGCUAACCUGGGAGCGGGCCUCGGCGGGGCGCCCUGCUGGUCCCGGCUCAUCCUCUCUUCCCCAGGCCACCCCCGCGCAUUCCCUGCGCCCGAGUUCUUGCUGCCCUCGUACCCCCCGCGCGGCGCCGGCUCGGGCCGCCCUCCCGGCCGCGGCGCAGGGCGAGGCCUGUCCCCUGUGUGCCCUCCUGGCUCCCAACUGCGACCCCAAUUUGCUGGGAUCUGGAAAGGGAGACCCGUCGUCUCCGACGCCAAAGCGGGCCCUGCGCAGGCAGGCCUGGCUGCUCCUGAUUUAAUUAUUCACUGAUGAAUUAGACAGCUGCAAUUGUCGUGAAAAAUCAGCGGCCACUAUUGAUUCCCGGAACGAGGAGGGGUUCAACUGUGGAAGACCUUGUGAAAAAAGAGGUGCCCCACGGAAGACGCACAUAAAGUCCGACCCCGAGACCUCGGCGCUAAUGCUUACGUCAUGUUGCGGCAGCAUCGGGCAACAACUGAGGGAGUGGAACCAGCAAGGAUGUUUUCAGGGACUGCACAAAAGCCGAUAUGAGACAUGGCCGCUGUGAUUUAUGGGAAUCAGUGUCCCAACUUAGUCAAGUAGAUCUGAUAAAAAAAAAAAAAGAAAAGAAAAGAAGAGUCUCUCUUUGACAGAGUUUUACAGAAGCAUUUGCUCUUGCCGGUAUUCAUGGGGUGCCAAGGCGUGGUAUUACUCACUGGCUCCUGUCUUGUGAGUCAGGGAAAAGAUUUCAAGCAUCUACCAGGUGGCAAACACUGCACCAGUUGCUCUGAAGUUAAAUGAAAUGGAAGAGAAGGACCCUGUUCUUGUUAAGGAGACAAGGCUAAACCUCUGAAAGAAUGUAAAACAUUACAAAUUAAAUAUAUUGUGUUGUAAUCAUAAUUGCUGGCAUUUUUUUUUGUAGCAUGUUGCAGUUUUCAAAGUAGUUUUGCAAGCGUCUUUUCAUUUGAUACUAGCCGUAUAUGGAGUGUUUACUAUGUGCUGGAUAUCAGAAAUAUUAUUUCAUUUAGUCUUUCUAAGAACCCUAUGAGGUAGGUGCUGUUAAUCUUUACAGAUGAGAUCCUUUGGCAGUUCUGAGGGUAGUCCGAACAAGCUUUUAAAAUAGAUUCAGAAACAGGCUCAUGGAGGAUAAAAGGCUUCCACAGGGUUGUUUGACUUUAAUGACCUCCUCUUUUUAAUCCUUCCUCUUGGACCGGUCUACAGUGAUGCCAGCAUGUGAACUUUCUGACAUUAAAUGUCCUUAAUAGUCUAUCUUUCUACCAACGCUUAUUUAUAUUUUUAGUCCAACACUUUGUGUGAAGAGGCAGGAUACUUUGUGACGGGUUUGUUGAAGGAUCUGUGUAGCCUCCUAGUUCAUGCCCUCUGCCAUAGGUCAUCCACAUGCCUCUGCCCAGACCUUUUCCCCGAGCUUCCAAAUUAUCCCCUGCCCGGCCCCUGACUAGCCAGCUAGUCUCUGUCGGUGAGUUAAUGUGUACUUUGGCCCCUGACCGUUUGUCCUUCUGCACAGAGUGGAAGACGUGCAUCGCUUGAAGCUCCGGUGGCAGUGCAGCAGCAGCUUCGCCUCUUCCUUCCUACGUCACCAGGUCCUGAGGUCUUUCUCACGCAGCCGUAGGAGAGGUCCUGGUGCGACAGUACUGGAGGACAUGUGGUCUGUGCCACUUACUCACGCAGCCUGCAUGUUACUUCCUUGAGCCUCAGUAUCAUACAUUGAGAGUAUUGAGUUUGAUCACUAAGCUCCUUUCCAGUAAGAAAAGUACCUGAUUUUAUGAAAUAGGAGGCAUUAACUCAUAUGCUAUCAGAUCUUUGCAUGGCUGGCUUCUUGUCACUCAGGUCACCUAGUCACUCUAACGUAUGACCCCAGCUUUUUUUUUUUUUGGUGAGGUAGAUUUGUCCUGAGCUAACAUCCACUGCUAGUCUUCCUCUUUUUUUUUUUUUUGCUUGAGGAAGAUUGGCCCUGAGCUAACAUCUGUGCCAAUCUGCCUCUAUUUUGUUUGUGGGUUGCUGCCUCAGCAUGGCUGAGGAGUGGUGUAGUCUGUGCCUGGGAUCUGAACGCGUAAACCUGGGCCACCAAAGUGGAGUGGGCCGAACUUAACCACUAUGCCACCAGGCCGGCCCCCCCAGCUUUUAAUUUUAGAUAGUGAUAUGUGCAAGGAAGAAAUUCCUUCCUUCCCUUCCUUCCGUCCUUAUUUGUUUCUUUUCUGUCUCUCCUCACUAAAAUGUGAACUGCAGGAGGUCAGAGCCAAUGUUUUAUUCAUGGUUGUAACCCCAGCAUCUAUAACAGUGCCUGGUGCAUAGUAGGUGCUUUAUAAAUAUUUGUUCAAUGAAUGAAUGAAGUCCAUUAAACUGGAUAAAUCCAAUUGUACUUAGAUUGUUAGUAGCCAGACGCCUCACAUUUUAGAGGAGUUCUAAUAGUUCAUCCCAUCUGCCAUCUCGUGCUACACAUAACUUAGGCUGGGUAAAUGGGUUUCCUCAUUGCCAGCAAGUCCCUGGGCAGGAAGUGCCACAGCACCGUCAGCUGCUUACGCAUUAUGUUUGCCAUGCUGUUCCUUUUGACUCUUGUUAGUGCACUGGCUUCUUACAGCCUGGCUAGCUUCAGGAACUGUAUGAAAUAGCAGUUCAAGCCUUGUGGAGAUGAUUUGAGGAUUUGUUUCAAUUUAUGAGUUCUUUGGACCAGUCUUCUCUCCCUUUCAAAGCAGGUCUGGAACCAUCAUGUGGUAAACCCUGUCGAUGCAUUUUCAUCUCGUACUUGCUGGUUCAUUACACUGUCUGGUUUGCAUGGUGCCCCAGUAGAUUGUCAGCUCAUCUGUAUAGCAGUUUAUUCCAUCUGCAAUGCUUCAUUAUUUUCGAAGAAAAAUGCUAUUCGCCCUUGAGCAUGGCUGCAGAUCUUGCUCUGCUGGGGUGCUGGAGAUGAAGCAGCUCUGCAGAUGAAUGCUUGCUUGAGGCCCAGGAAGUGGAAUUUAGUACCUUUCUGAAAUUGAGUGCUUUGGGUAGGAUGGUUAUCUGGAAUAUCUAGGGCAUCCAGGAUGGAAACAAGAGACGCUCUAAGUCUAACUGUAGAACAAGGGCAAGGGGAGGGUGGGAAGAAUGGCAAGUAUGUACCAGGGACUGUGUUGUGCAGUUAUCUCAUUUAAUCCCCUGGCAAACCAAAGGAGAAAACCGGUGCUCAUUGAUUUAAAUACCCACCAGUGAAUAGGCUGAGCUAGUGACUCAACAGACCUGGCUGACAUCAAAGGCCAUGACUUUUUUCACUAUACUGUGCAGCUCCCAGGACAGUGCCUGGUACAUCAGGGAGUGUUCAUUGAAUGAAUGAGUGAAUGAGUGAACGAACGUUGAACAAGCUUGGUUUUACUUCUUUGUGAUUUCCAUUUUAAUGGCCUCUUUUGCACUCUACUCCAGAACUGUCAGCUACCUAGCUCUCCUCCGUGACUUUGGUGCUCCUUGUGGGUCUGCCCUUCUCUUAACUUGAUGAUCCAUUUUUCACCUUGCAUACUCAGCUCCCCUCCCAUUUAGAUCUCUGGUUUUGCUCCUACUCUUUUCGGAACCUUAGCUAAGAAGUUGGUAAAAUAAGGUGUGCCUCAAUGUUUAUGGUGAUCAUUAUGCACUUACCACGGUCGGGAAGAAUUGCUUUAUGCAAAAGUUUAUCUCUGAGAACAGUUAUUUCGAGGACAGUUGUAGUUAGGUAGAGGGUAGACUUUGGGUGGGAGGGAAUUUGAAUGUCUUUCAAAUCAUCCAAGGCUGUCUGCUGCUUAUUCUACUUAUGCUGAGUGCAGUGAAAUUGAGAGGGAAUCCUAGGUACAAGGAGGCUGUGUUUGGGAGAUAGAACAGGGGAUUUAAGGAUAUCCCAGCUCUGAGGAAGGAACCAUCAGCUGGCAGACCAAGACGUUUAAGCUUCCAGUGCUGAAGAAUGAAAACAAAAUGUCUUCUCCAGAUUCCGUCCCUUAAAGAAUUUAAUGAAUAGAAUGGGGAUUUGUUUUCCUAGCUCUUUAAGAAAAUGUGGCUCUGUGUAUAACAAUCUACCAUAUUGUAAGAACCUAUCCGUCAUAAAUAGGGAGGUUUAGGAACAGAGCUUUGAAGCCUUAAAAGCUCCAAAACUACUGCAUCAAUGGUGCUCACUUCACACCACCUCCCAGCCCUCCAGGGGUGCCUCCUUCCUGAAGACCGACCCCAGGAUCUGAGAAGUGUAGAACCUUAGAGGCUGGCCACUCCUGUUUCCUCCCAGUGCGAGAAUCUCCCCAGGGCCGACCUGUGGCCGGCCGGUGGUGUGGCAGGGUGGUUGGGUUCGUGCACUCUGCUUCCGCGGCCCAGGGUUUUGCUGGUUCGAAUCCUGGGCCUGGACAUGGUGCUGCUCGUGGGCCAUAUUGGGGCGGCGUCCCACGUGCCACAACUAGAAGGACUCACAACUAAAAAUACACAACUAUGUAUGGGGGUUGGAGGGCCUUUGGGGAGAAAAAGGAAAAAAAAAAAGAAUCUCUCCAAUAGUUUCUGUGACAUCAUCUUGAAAAUCGUCACCACCUAAAUCAGCCCAUUCAAUUGCUUCCAGGCUAGUAGGGUUAGGAAAUCCUCUUCUUAACUUGUGACUCCCACCUCUUAGUCUGUGUUUUGCCCUUGGGAGGAGAACAGAGUCAGUCCUCUGCCUCUGCCAGGCAUAGCUCUAGCAAUCUCUUGCUUCCAUUACAAGCCUGCAGAGGGUUAAUUAUGCAUGCAGCUCUGCUCUGCAGAGGAAAAGCACAAAAGGCAGUGUUGAAUUAAAGUCACAGAAGCAGUACUUUCUAGCUAAUGGUACUGCCCCUCAUCCCCAAACAGGUAAGUGGGGGUAAAACGUACAAACAUGAAUCACAAUUUUUCUGUUGACUUUGUGACAGACUUUCUGCCUCUGGGCCGCUGCACCCUCAUUUGGAGUUUCUGGCUUUACCUUCAAUGACUCUAAGUGCCGUCAAAAUAACCCCUGCUCUGUGUGUGUGUGUGUGUGUAUGGUGAGGACUAGGGUGGGGUAAGGUGUUAGGAGGGAAGAAGGCUGGAGAUCUAGAUUAUUCUAUAAUUGACAAAGAAGGAAGACCCUUCUGAAAUUUUUGCAGAGUCCUCAAAGAUGCUGCACAGACCGUAGCCAUAGUCACUAAAUUUGAUUCAUCAUUGAAGACAGAGUCCAACUUUUAAAUGUUCUCCCUCUGGACACAGCAUCAUUCAUGUGUUUAGUUGGUAUUUACUGAAUGCCCACUGAAUGGAUAAUCCUAUUGCUUGUUCUGCAUGGAAUACAUUAUCUAAGCCACCUGCGAAUUUGAGAUUGACUAGGAGAGAAAAGUCAGUGAUAUCAGUAAAAUCGUAGUAAUUGUAGCUACCAUUUAUUGAGUGCCUACUCACUAGACAGAUAGUAUAUAAUUCAUGUAACCCCUGUUCCCACCACCUUUCACUGUAAUAUCCUUACAAAGUGGAUAUUAUCAGAGGGUCUGCAACCAGCACGUGUCUGAGCUGGAACUGGAGUCCAGGCUUUUCUGACAGCAUAGCCUUGGUUCUUUCUGUGAAACUACACUGUCUCCCCACAGGGACAGGGACAGAAACCAGUUACAAGGCAGCAACAGCAGCUUUGUACUGAAAGCACUGUGAGUUCAAUCCAGUCCACACAACCUCACUGAGCAUGUAGACAUCUCAUUGGGUAAGUUUAGUCUAGGCAGACGUCCUGGAGGAGGUGUCUCCUUGGCUAAAUCAUAUAAGGAAUGCAGAAUUCGAAUUCAUGGGGAAAUCACUUGGGCUUGCCUUGGAUUUGGUUUGCUUAGGGAUCAAACACAACUGACAAAUGGAAAAGCUCCCCUCCUUCCACUUCCCUCCCUUUUUCCUUCAGUAAGGAGAGAAAGUCUAACUUAAAGCAAGUGGGGAGGGGUCUCUUUUUGUCUGUGCUGAGGUAGAAAAACCCAUCUCCCUAUUCAUCUUCUUCCUCCCUCUCCCCUUAGACUGGAGUUCCCAUCCUGCACUUUGUGGUUUUCACUUAACGAAUGUUAAUGAGAUGGCAUUGUAAUCACCGGAUUUUAUAAAUAUCUCAUCCACAAAUUGGACCACAAAACCCAAAUGAGCCAGCUGAGCAUCUAUAUUCCAUGAGCCUGUGUUUUCCCCACAGUCUUAACCAAAGGAUGUAAAACGUGUUCUUGCUUUGAAGCUGUUCAGGCCCAUGGGUGUUAGAUGCUGAGGACAACUGCUGUUUGCCUGGCCCUAACUCAAGUGGCUUGUUGGGUAUGAGCCUUUCACACAGUCCUGGGUGAUGUAAGGGAUUUAGGCUUGAUCAAUUAUACCCUUUUCAAGUUAACGCUAGAAAAAUGAGAAAUUGAUUUUUUUGACGAAACAAUAUUUUAGAAAUUCAGGAUAUAAAAAUGGGAUUUGACCUCUCUUAUCAAGUCAGCUCUCAUCAUGAUGAUUACAGUCUCCAAUUAUGCCAUAUUUUGUAUGUCAUGGCCGAAUGCGAUCAGCUUGUCAGAUUUGUUCGGGGAGAGGGUAGAGCAAUGAUAAUGCAUCCAGCUGUGACUGCUUUGUGGUGUGAAGGGGAGAACCUGGAGGAUCCAUCUUGUUUGGCAAAUCUGCUGGAGUGAGCAUCCUCAGACACGGGCAUCAGAUUCUAACAAUCCUGCUUAAUCUCUUUGCAGAGAUCUAAUGAGCAAAAGCUAUAUUGAGUAAUUUUUCUGGUGCUUCGUUAUUUUUACCUGGUAUUUCUUACUUUUACCCAAUAUGCUCCUAUUAUUAUACUCAAAUUGUAACCGAAUAAGAAGCGAAGAGCUUACGUACAUUGCAGACAGUCUGUUGACUUACUGGUAGGUUAAACAGCAUUUUGAAGGUAGGACCAAGCUUGACUCACUUUUUAUCCUCAGCACCUAGCACACUGCUCGGCCCAUAGAAAGGACUUAAUUCAGGUUCAUUGAAUACUUUAAAGAGUAAUCCAGCCUUGGAACUGUCUGGAGAAUAGUCCUCAGGCUUCUCCACUGCAGUAAUAUGAAAGAAACCCCAAUUCUUUAAAAUUCGCCAGAAAAAAAUGUUGCUUGCUUUGGGUAAGUGACUGUUUGCAAGGUGGUUAGUUAAUACAAACAUUCGAGUGAUUGGAUAACUGAAAUAAAAAGUAAGUAUAACGGAAGGAGAACAUGACAGAUUUUGUUAAAGAUAACAGCUUCCACUUCUCUUAAGAUGUGGGAACCUGAAUGACUAUAACUUUAACUUUCUUACUAUUCAUUUCCCGCUACUUGGGAAUUUUUUUCAUUGCCAUUUAUUUAAUCACUGAUUUGAAAUAUCAUUAUAAUUACACACUGAAUUCUUGGAUCUGCUUUCAGAAUUUCUGUUCUAGAACAGAAUAUAUUGAUUUUUCUGUCUACUCAUUCACUAAUAAUACACUUCUAAUUAUAGUAACUUUUUUAUAUGUUUUACUAUCUGCCAAGGCUAGUCAUUCAUUACUAAUUGUUUUCCAAUAAUUUUUUUGUUAUUUUUGCAUAGCUCUUCUUUAGACUGAACUUAAUAGUCAUUUUGUCAAGUUAAGUUGUUCUUUGCUUGCUCUCUGCCUUCUCUUCCAAAAAUCUGCUUAGAUUUUUUAUUGGAAUUGUGCAUGAAUCAAGGCAUGCAAAGUUUAGUAUCUGUCCUGUUGUAACUGUGUGCCUGUUCAUGCCCCAGUUUUCUCAUGUCAGGUGUUGAAAACCAUAAAUACUUUACAAAUCUGAGGCUUUAUUAUUUAUGGGAUUUUUAAUGAUUCAGUAUCCUUUAUUUGAUAGAAUAUGGAUACCCUUCCCUCAAUUCUAAGAUAUGUGUCAGAUAAUAAAAAAGAGGUUAUAAUUCAAUACAUAGGAGACUUCCAAUUCUGGUUAGGGAGUAAGAAGUUACAAGAGACCACUGCUUCCACCCUAAAAAGGAGAAUAAGCUAGAUAAGCUACAAAAUCAUAACUUUAAAAACUCAUCAGACAUACUAGCAACCCAAGUGUCCAUAGAUGGAUGAGUAGAUAAAUAAAACUUGGUAUAUACAUACAAUGGAAUAUUAUUCAGCCUUAAAAAAGAAGGAAAUUCUGACACUUGCUACAGUGUGGAUGAAUCUCCAGGACAUUAAGUGAAACAUAUGAGUCACAAAAGGACAAAUAUGAAUGAUUCAGCUUACAUGAGGUAUCUAGAGUAGUCAAAUUCAUAGAGACAGAAAAUAGAAUGGGGUUGUCAAGGACUUGGGAGAGGGAAAAAGGGGAAUUAUUUUUUAAUGGGUACAGAGUUUCAGGUUGGGAAGAUGAAAAAGUUCUGAAGAUGGUGGUGAUGGUUGCACACACAAUGUGAAUGUACUUAAUGCCACUGAACUGUGGACUUAAAAAUGAUUCAAAUAGUAAGUAUAAGUUAUGUAUAUUUUGCCACAAUUGAAAAAAAACCCAUCAGAGAGAUGAAGACAGAAAGAAACUUAAAACAAAUACAAUCCAGGAAGUGUUGAGCUAUUCCUAGGAGGGAAGAGCAGGGCAGUGGGAAGGAGAGGAACCUGCCAGAGGCAGGAAUAAGAAGCCAGCUGAACUUCAGAUAACUUAAAAAAAAGUAAGCAUUUUAUUAAUCUAUAACUGACAUAUAAUAAAUUUCAAAUAUUUAAAGCGAAAAAUUUAAUCGGUUUUGACAUCAUUAUACACCAAUGAAACCAUCACCACAAUCAAAAUAAUGAGCAUAUCUUACCUCCAAAAGUUUCUCUGUGCCCCCUUGUAGUCCUUCCUUCUCAACCCUCCCCAUCCCCAGGCAACUAAUGAUUUAUUUUCAUUACUAUAGAUUUGUUUGUAUUUUCAAGAAUCUUAUAUAAAUGGAAUCAUGCAGUAGGCAUUCUUUUAAGUUUGGCUUCUGUCACUCAGCAUAUUUAUUUUGAGAUUCAUCUACAUUGUUGAGUGUAUCAAUAGUUCAUUGCUUUUUAUUGUGGAGUAGUAUUCCAUUGUAUGGCUAUAGCACAAUUUUUUAUCUGUUCAUCUGCUGAUGGACGUUUUGGUUGUUUCCAGGUUUUGGCUGCUACGAAUAGAGCUGCUGUAUUUGUGCACAAAUCUUUGCAUGGACAUAUGCUUUCUUUUCUUGAGUACAUAAAUACCAAGGACUGGAAUGGCCAGAUGAUAGACCAGGUAUAUGUUUAAGUUUUUAAGAAACCACCAAACCAUUUUCCAAAAUAGUUGUACCAUUUUACAUUCCCACCAGCAGUGUAUGAGAGUACCAGUUUCUUCUUGUCCUCACCAACACUUGGUAGAGUUAGUCUUUUUAAUUUUAGCCAUUUAAAUGAGUAUGUAGUGGCAUUUUAUUGUGUUUUAAUUUGCGUUUCCUUAAUGACUAAUGAUGUUAAGCAUCUUUUCAUGUGCUUAUUUGCCAUCCAUAUAUCUUCUUUAAGUGUCCAUUCAAAUCUUUUGCCCUCAAUGAACUUUUAGGCCAGGGCACAUGUGGGCUGGCAUGACCAAUUAGUAUAUUAAGGAGCCCCAGCCACACAGCAGGUCUGCACCCACCUAUAAACACUUUCUAAUGGGCUUCACUGAGUACAUGGAGAUAGGACACUCAAUUAGUUUCCUAGGGCCGCCAUAAAAAAGUACCAUGGCUGAGUGGCUUAAACAACAGAAAUUUAUUCUCCUAUAUCUCUGGAAGCUAGAAGACUGAGAUAAUGGAGUCAGCCAGGUAGAUUUCUUCGAGGGCUGUGAGGAAGAAUCUGUUCCAUGCCUCUCUCCUAGCUUCUGAUGGUUUACUGGCAAUUUUUGGUGUUCCUUGGCUUGCAGAAGCAUUGCUUCAGUCUCUGCCUUUGUCUUCACAUAACAUUCUCCCUGUGUGUGUGUCUGUGUCCAAAUUUCCCCUUUUUGUAAGGACACCAUUCACACUGGAUUCUGGACCCACCUUACUGCGUAUGGACUCAACUAAUUAUAUCUACAAUGACAAAUAAGGUCACAUUCUGAGGUACUGGGGGGCUAAGAUCUCAACAUAAGAAUUUUUGAGGAACAAAAUUCAACCUGUAACAUAUACCAAGGGCUGGAAGCAGGGAAUGAAAGCUAAGAGAAAGUUCCUUUGAGACACAUGAGCAAGGCCAUGGCACUGAAGGCUGUGGGUGGACCAGGAGACCUGAGAGAAGUCCACCCAAGUUACUUUGAGUCUUCACUGAGUGCACUGCAGCAUCCUACUGAAAGCUAGGGGCCCAGAGGAGAACAUUAGGAGCUUAUACUGGUCUUCACCAAGUAAAAGGAAGUACCUGUGAAUAUAGGGAAUGGGGCGGUGAAUGCCCCUCUGGCCACUUUAGACCUUCACAGUGUGCAUUACAGUGGUCCUCUGAAGGCUGGGGACAGGGAAGCAUGGCAGAGAGAGAUAUAGUUCAGUGUACAUAAAGCCAAGGGCAGGACUGGAGAACAAAGAGAACUCUCUAGUUGCCCUAAAUCUGGUAGCAGGGCGGUAAAGAAAACAAAGAUAUCCUCCAUGGUUUGGAAAAUGGUGGUUGGGCUUUCAAGCAUAAAGAGAUCUUCAGAGUCUUGAAUUGCUCAGAUUCCAAGUCCUACUGGAUGGAAAGUCUUGAUGCUGUCCACAAAACCUCUGAAGCCAAGUGAUGAAUUCAAUCUAACUGAAGUUGCAGCAAAGCCCAGACUUACCUCAACUCUACAUUAGUUUGACUCAGUCUCUCAUACCAGAGCUUGAAAGGAUAUGCCCCUUUCUGGGAGUAAAUAUUAUUUAAUCCCUACCAUGUUUUAAAACACACAAUGUUUGGCAUACAAAAAAAAAUUGCAAGACGUAAAAGGCAGGAAAAUAUGAUCCUGGUGAAGAGAGGAGACAGGUAAGGACCUGGAAGUGCUAAAAAUGAAAAACAUAAUAUCAGAAAUGAGUUCAUUUGACACACUUAAUUGCAUACCAGAUAUAGUUGAGGAAAGAAUAGUGAACUUGAAACACAUCAAUAGAAAUUACUCAAACUGAAGCACAAAGAAAAAUUAGAGUAGGAAUAGAAAAAAGGAUCAGUGGACUCAGAAAUAGAAAAUAUCUUAAAUCAGUGCAAAACCAAAAAUGGACUAUUACAUGUAUGAUUGGAAUAACAAUUAGAAAAGAGGGAGAUGGGACGUUAAAUAUUUGAAAAGAUAAUGGCCAAGAAGUUUCCAAAAUUGAUAAAAGGCAUUAACCCACAGAUCCAAGAAUCCCUGAGAAUUCCAAUGUAAAGAAAACCAUCUUUAGGCACAUGUUAGUCAAGCUGCUGGAAACCAAAGAUGAAGAAAAUAAUCUUAAAAGCAGUCAGAGAAAAAUGAAUAUAUUAUAUACAGGUAAAAAACAAUACAAAAAUAUCCUGACUUCUUGUCAGAAAUAACAGAUUACAGAAAACAAUGAAGGAAUAACUUUAAAGUACUUAAAGAUAAAAUAAAAACUGUCCAUCUAGAAUCGUGUAUCUCAUGAUGAUGUCCUCCAAGAAUUAAGGUAAAAUAAAGACAUUUCCAGAGAGACUGAAGCUGAGAGAAUUAAUCUUCAGCAGAAUGCCACUACAAGAAAUGCUAAAGGAAGCUCUUCAGGCUGAAGGGAAACUAUAUCAGAUGGAAUCCUGGAUCUUCAAGGAGAUUGAAGAGCAACAGAAGAGAUAAUUAUCUGGAUAAAUAUAAAAUACCUUUAAAAAUUAUUAGAUAGAUAGACAUCUAUAUGUAUCUGAGUGUAUAUUUACGUUACUUUAAAAGAAUAUGGGCUGCUUAACGUAAAAGCAAUAGCAAUAUAUUCUUGGGUAGUUAUAACAUAUGUAGAGGUAAAAUGUAUGAGAAGAAGAGCAUAAGGGUUAGGAAAGGGAAAAAUUGGAUUAUACUGUUCUAAGUUCCUUACAAUGUUAAUGAAGCUGUAUAGUAUUAUUUGAAAGUAGACUGUGAUAGGUUAGAGAUACAUAGUACAAUUUCUAGGGUAACAAGUAAAAAACUAGAGCUAAGAAGUAUAGCUAAGGGGGCUGGCUCGGUGGCCCAGUGGUUAAGUUCAUGCACUCUACUUCAGUGGCCUGGGGUUUGCUGGUUCAGAUCCUGGGGGCGAACCUACACAGUGCUCAUCAAGCCAUGCUGUGGUGGCAUCCCACACAGAGGAACUAGAAGGACUUACAACUAGGAUGUACAACUAUGUACUGGGGCUUUGGGGAGAGAAAACAAAAAAAGAGGAAAGAAGUACAGCUAAACAAAUAGUAGGGGAUAUAAAAUGGAUUACUAAAAAUACUUGAUUAACGUGAAGCUUGGAAAGGAAGAACAGAAACGACAAAAAAGACAGAGAACAAAUACCAAGAUGAAAGUCUUAAAUAGAUGCAUAUAUAUGAUUAAUUAAACGCAAAUUAUCUGAAUACUCUGCAUAAAAGGCAGUGGUUGUCAGACUGGAUAAAACACACACAGUCUAUAUACUAUUUACAUGAAACACACUUUAAAAAUAAAGACACAAACAAAUAAAAAGUGGAAGGGUGGAAAAAUACAUACCAUCCACAUUCUAAGCAUGGGAAAGUUGCUGUAGCUUAAUAUCAGAAAACAUGACUUCCAGGCAAGCGUCUCACUAGAGAUAAAGAAUGAUAUAUUAUAACGAUAAAGAGAUCAAUUCAUCAAGAAGAUUUAAUAUUCCUAAAUGUGCAUACACCUAAUAAGAGUACUUCAAUGUUAUGACACAAAAUUGAUCUUUCUAAAGGGAGAAGUAGACAAAGCUACAACCAAAGCUGAUGAUUUUACACCCUGUCAGCAAUUGACAGAAAAGAUAGACCAGAAAAUCAGUAACUCUGAGCUUCCUGGGUCUAUGGUUUGGUGUCAUUAAUUUUGGAAAGUUCUAGGCUAUUAUUGCUUCAAGUAUUUCUCCUACUACAUUUUCUUUCUUCUCUUGAUAUUCCAAUUAUGUAUAUGUUAUACCUUUUGAUAUUGUCUCACAGUUCUUGGAUAUUCUGUUAUUUUUUUUAAUUCUUUUUUUCUCUUUGUAUUUCCAUUGGAGAGUUUCUGUUGACCUAUCUUCAAGCUCAUUGAUUCUUUCCUUGGCCAUGUCCAGUCUACUGAUGAACCCAUCAAGGCAUUUUUUGUUUCUGUUACGCUGUUUUUGAUUUCUAGCAUUUCCUUUUAAUUCUUUUUUAGUUUCCAUCUCUACCAUUACCCAUUUGUUCUUACAUGUUGUCUUCUUUUCUGUUAGAGUCCUUAACAUAAUAAUCACAGUCAUUUAAAAUUCCCUGAUACUUCAGCAUCUGUGUCACAUCUGAGUCUGGUUCUGAUGAUUGUUUAUUCGAGACUUUGUUUCUUCUUUCAUUUUGGUUUGCCUAGUGAUUUUUCCUAAAGCUAGGCAUACUGUUCUGGGUACUAGGAACUGAGGUAAGUAGGCCUUUAGGUGAGGAUUUAUGUUAAUCUGGCUAAGACGUGGACUGCAUUUAAUAUUUGCCAUAGUUACAGGUGCCAGAGAAUUCAGCUUCUUCUAGAGUCUUUGUUUUUGUGUCCUCUUGACUUUGGGAAAAAUCUUUUUCCUGGAAAGUGAACCUCUGUUAUGGAUAAGGCUCUGGCUGGGUAUAUUUUAUCAUUACUCUUCCUCUCCCCCUUCUAGAGUAUAAGCUGUAUUAUUCCUUUUGUAUGAACUCCAAAAACAGGGAAGUAAUCUAUGGGGAUAGAAAUCAGAAUGUGUUUGCCUCUGGGGUGGGGGAAUUGACUAAAAGGGGCUGACUGAAAAUUUCAGGGUUGGUUGAAAUAUUCUAUGUGUUGUUUUGGGUGUCAAAAUUCGUGAAACUGAAUACUUAUCUGAAUACUUUAUUAUAUGUAAAUUUUACUUCAAUAGGAAAAAAGGAAAAUCCAGUCUAUAGAUAUGGGAAAACAGAGUAAUGUGAGCAAAGUGUCUGUAAUCAUGGAGGGAGACACUAGUAUAAGCCCAGAUGAAUAGCAUGGGAGACGUAAGUUGGUGCCAUCCCCUUACUUUGUGAGCUUGUAUCAGUCACUUCAUUUAUCUGGGUUUUAGGUUCUUCUUUUAUGAAAAGAAGUGGUUGAACCAGAUGAUCAGUAAAUAGGGUGAUCUUACUGUUAUGUAUUGUCCACAUCGUGACAUUCUUGAGAGGGAGAUGAAGCUCCCUUAAUAAUUAUGCCAGGAGAAGAGUCGUAAACUGCUCCUGUCCUGGGCAAAUGGGGAGGAAUAGUUAUCCUGUCAAUAAGGGUCUCUGAAACAUCUAAACCGUGUGAGGUGACAGCCUCAGUAUCAGCAGCAGUCUGGGCUCUAGGAGUCGGAUCUUACGUGUGAUUUCAUGGGUUCUGUUUGAGCUGAUGAUGUGUCAGCACAGCUGCUUGCAGGGCGGUGAGAGGGGUUUUCGAAAGGCCUCCAGCCCCUCCAGUCAGUGGGCUGCCGCCUCCCAUGCCUGCGGAAUAAUAAAGACUUUCCAGUGGUAAGACAUUGACAUUUCUAGGUUAAAAACUAUUGUUGAAACGGAGCUAAUUUCUCAAUAGGGUGAAAAAUGGAUCUCGCUUUCCUCUGCUCUGAUAAUAUGAAAAUAAUGGGUCUCCUUUACAACAGUUGCCUUCCUUUUUUUCCCAAUCUUUGGAGGCAACUGAUUAAUCUGUAUUUAUAAGACUCAAGAUUACAAACUAUUAGUGUCACCUCUGUGCUGCCAAAGCUUUGAAGGGCCUGAAAGAAGGUCCUAAGUGACUAGGGUUCUAGCCAUUCUGAAAUAUAAUGUCACAUUGCUGGAAUUCAGUUUACUAAAAGAGACAUCUAGCUAGAAUCUAUUCCUAGAAAGAAUCCAAUGGGUUACAUACAUUUGUAUAUAAAAGCAAUAGAGACUAGAAAAUAUCUAGCAGGUGACUGGAAAACGCUCCAGAAGUUCCUGAACCUCCCUAAGGUCUUGAGAAGGGAGUGGGAUUUAGACAAGAGAAUAAGCACUGUGCUCAGAGUUGGGUGGGACCAAGACUCCUGUAAAUAAAUAAAUUUAUUUAUAAAUAAAUCCAGUCUCUUAGAGCAGGAGGCAGUCUUCCAAUUUGGGUGCUGCUAAAUAGGACCUCUUUGUCCCCAGACAUGCCCCAGUGGAUGUAACCCGUGCUAAGAAUCAGGAGAGGAGAUUCCAGUCCCAGGUCUGCCCAGGGAAGGUCAGAUUGCCUGAUGGUUAAGGGCAUGGACUUCAUCAGCAUGACCUUGGGAGAAAUGAUACUGCCAAGGAGAUAGGACUAGAUGCUGCAGGAACUUUACAGAGAGAACUCGAAGAGGAGCCACAGGACCUAUUGAAGAAUUGUGCAUGGAGGAAUUUCAGUAUUUGCUGCUAGCUCAUGUAGACAGCCAAGCCCAACCUUUCUGGAGUCCUACAAAUCUCCAAGGAGAAACACACAGAAAACACAGAGAAUGAUAAAAAGGAGGAUGCAUUUAGUCUCUUCAUUGAAUGGAGUGUGUUAGUGUGGGUAUGUGGGAUCCUCUGAAUGAGACACAGACAACUGACAGUGUUUUCCAAUGCACAAUAAAACAGUUUAUUUAAAAAGAACGCAUUCAGUACCGUGUUUGGCACACGAGGCAAUGAGGCAGGCACAUUCACACUUAACAGGUACAUUUGGGGAGCUGUCGAAGCAAAUCAUUGCAUUGUCUUCACAAACUAUAGUCACAAUAUACACGAGAUUACCUCUACAAAAGAAAGAUGGUCAUCCUUGUUCACCAAGAAGGCAGAAGAUAUUUACAUGUUCCUCAGUUCAGCAAUGCUGGCUUCUUUCAGGUCUCCAUGGCCCUGUCAGUCUGGCAGCUUGUUUUCAAGGGCAGCUGAGGCUGCCUCUCACAAGGGAUGUGAGUCUAAUUCCUAAGGGCCGUAGCCUCUUCCAAAGAGCGAGAGUGCUUCUGAUGGAGUUGCGGAGGAGUGAAGUCUUCAGUGCCAGUCUCUCAGCAUAAAAUGGCAUUUUCCAAAACAAAUGCAUCAAGCGUGUGGGGGGAGGGCUCCAUGACUAUAAGAACAUAAGAAGCAUUUAUUUUCCCUGACACAUGCUUCUUGCCAUUUCUUCAAUAAUUUACAUUCACUGUUCUCUCGCCUUUUGACCUAUUGGUUUCAUCACUACUCUAUAGAAAGCUUUGUUCCUCACUCUACAUUGACAUACCAUUCUUUAAAAUGAUGCUAAAAUAAAAUGGUGAAACCAAGUAAGUUAAGUGAGAGAAGAUAUCACAAAAUUCUUUUGUCUUGACUUCUGAUUUAUGCCUUCACAAUGGAUUGUCAACUUCCCAUGUAAAGAAUGGAGGCAGUAUGGUGCGGUGUAGUAGAAUCAGUGGCUCGGAGACCCAGACUCAAUUCCAGUUAACUAGCUGGGCAGAUAAGUCACUUCCUCCUUUCUGAACCUCAGUGUCUCAUCUCCACACUGAGGAUCUUGAUCUGGAAUCUAGACCUGAGAUAAUGUCUAGAUCUGUGAAGUUCUGCUAUGGACUUAGGUGACUGUCCUAUGUGAGUAAACAAUGCCACAUUGUGAUAUUUCAGUAUUUUUGUUCUAUGUCCUGGGAGAAUUUCAGUGUUAAUUGAUGAUGCUUGGUGACUGGAUCUCAACCCAUCAAUAAACCCCUCCCAGAGCUCUGGUCUGUAAGGCUACUUUUCUGCAUAGUAAGAGCUCAGAUCUGGAUCUUGAAAUGUGGUUAAAGAGCAUUUCUGACAUGGAGACAAAUUAUUCCAAGUCUUGAAAAAUGGUCUAGAUUCCAGAUUUCAGUGGGAAACCUCCCCUUCCCUUUUGCAAGUACUUCAUUGACUUCAUUCCACCUUCACACAUUGACCGAUCCUUUCUCCCAUUAUCUACCAAUUUUUUCCCUACCUCCCUAGCUAAAAAUGUUGUAGGAGUGGCUGGUUCCCCAAGGCUGGUUUUGCUGUGAAUUUGUUCAUAAUAAGAUGGGGCCUACUGUCAAGUCCCUUCUGCUUGUAGCUAUGGACUUCUCUCUUUGGUGUCCAGCAAAGAGCCAGAGGAUGAAGGCCUAUUUUGUGCCCAGGCUACAUGCAAUUUGUUGUGAAUACAGGAAAACAUCUGAACGUGUAUCUGACUCAUUUAAAACAAUAUGUAGCUUAUUCAGUAUAGAGAAACAAGCUCAUUUCGAUGACUGUUAAGAAGAACACAAAAGAGAGGUGGUAUACCCUGGCCUUUUAAACACCAUACACAGAAAAUGUCCAAGUUGAGUUUCAAACAUUUACAGUCUCGAAAUGCCUUACAGAACCUGUAGGAUAUUUUACCACAGCAGAGAAAGUAGAUUUGGUCCUUCAUGAUCUAAUUUUGAUUUACUGCUCACUGAAUGAGAACCUAUGGCCACUUAUUGUAUCUGAAGAAUUAAGUGCAUUUUUUCCCAGCAUUGCCUUCCAAAGGAUUUAAUUAAGCCCACCUAAGAAUGACUUCCAUCAGAAAAACCUUUAAUUUACCAACAAAGCUUGUUCUGUGGCUCACCAGGGUAUCCGAUUUCUAAACAGUAGUGAACAGCUGGUGGUGAGGAAGAAAGAAAGUUGCCCUACUGCUCACUGCCCAGGGGACUGCGGUGGCCAAAUGUUUGUGGGUAGGUUUUUUUUCAGAGUCCAGCCUUACACUAGCUUCGCUAAGGGCAAGGCAUCACAUGAUGCCUUCCUCGACAAAGUUUGCCUGGUAGUGUUCUUAUCUAGUGGUGUUUCUUCCCAUUAGGAACUUCUCUGAGGGCAAGUAAAGCCCAGCUAAGUACCUACUCAAACCCUGGGCAUGAGGCUUAGCUGGGUAGAGACGUUUGAACUAUGGAGCUUCCCCAGGUGCGGUGGGGCCAGGUAAGCUUAUUGGAUGUCUUUCUCUUCCCCUGCUCCUUUAUGGGCACUGAUUUCUGGAUGCCUGUGAAUUUUGUGCUGUCAAAAGGCCGAGGAGCAAGUGGACAGGGAAAAUUAGAGAACUGGGGAAACAGGCAAUGGACUAUAGGAUAUGAAAAAAGAUCAGCCAACAUGGUUUCAACUGGCAGUUUAAUUGAAGAAUUUUGACCUAGAAGGUCACCCUUAGAAAUUAGACAAGCCAUGGCUAGUAAUCUCCUAAGGUACUGAGGAGUCUGUUGAGAGGUUCCUAAAAGUCACAUGGCUAGGAAAUAUUUUGAACACCUUAGGGUCCUUAGCCUCAAGGACCCAGUAACAUACUAAAAAUCAGUAGAACUAACUAAAGUAUAAAUGCCUCCUUGGGAGGAGGGGGCACUUGGGAGUCCCUCCAAAGCUGCUGCUCGCCUCUUCUAUUUGGUACUCACUGAUUCAGAAAUUGUUCAGGCAGUGCUGUGCUGGAGCCAGCUCAUACUGGCUCUUGAAAACAUUUUGUUACAUUUUCAGCUGGUUGACAUCAAGUUAGUAGCUUUAAAUUGGCUACAAUGAGAGUACACCGUGGAAAUUGGCAAGGGCUACAAAUCGGGGCUCCACUCUUCUCCAGAGCCAGUUGUUAAACAUUUAGCAGCACACAAAAGAGCUAAAAUUGUCUCUGAAUCCCAGAGAAGGGAAAUCAAAGGAGCCCUUUAGUAUCUCUGAUGAUGAAAGACAUGAGCACAGCUAUAGAAAGCAGCCUGGCCAAAACUUCAUUAGAAUGGUGGCAUCUUAUUCAACAGAGGCUGGCACAAGGCAGCCAGUGCCAACUGACCACCUCUCUCAUACUCACUUGGUCUUGGAAUUUUAGUUUCUUGAAUUUGCUUUUUUGAUCGGUUUCAUUUUAACCUGAGGACCUUUGCAUUUGGGGCAUUACUUGGAGGUUGAGAAAUAAGACCCCUUUAGGAAUAUUUUAGGCUCUGGGAAUGACAACCAAGUAGAAUCUGAAUAAAUCAUGUAACUUUCCUGUUUCUCAAUCUAUUUGUGAAGAUGAG